This 561-nucleotide ribosomal RNA is filed under the name Triticum aestivum (bread wheat). RNAcentral describes it as "partial small subunit ribosomal RNA". Lineage: Eukaryota; Viridiplantae; Streptophyta; Magnoliopsida; Poales; Poaceae. The record is from RNAcentral.
AUGUUUCGGACCCUCUGCAAGGGACAAGCAUGCCAACAAGACGGAUUUGACAAAUGGUACAAAACGAAUCCUCCGUGGUCCUUACCAGAUUCCAUGGGGGGUGCUCCAGAUCGCGUCGAGACGGCGGCAUUUGCGACGGGGGAGGUGGCGACCUCCCCUGACCCCGUCCUCCUCGGCGACGUCUUCUUCUCAGGCCUGAAGCAUGAAAAGCAUUUCACGGUCCGAAUUCCCCAAUGCAUGUGCCUCUCAACCGAACCUCCUCCUCCUUGUGCCCACCACGAGAUCUCCAACCCCUCUGCUCCUUACAAUCCAGAAGACUCUUUGCACAUGCAAUGGCACCAUGGACGGGGAGUUCUCCUCCCUUGCUGCACGAUCCUGGUCACAGAUUGCCAUCGCACUCAUCUUGCAAGAAGAAUGCGAUCCCUGUGGAGGGGAUGUGAUCAGGUAGGAGGAGCAUUGUCACCGUGGCUUUUGUGGAGGUCAAUGUGCUCACCCAAGAAUAGGAUCUCUCUCGGUUUUGGGCCACAGUUGAGCUCUAAAUUUAGAAUGUCUGCCCUCUGA